UAGGGAAUCUUCGGCAAUGGACGGAAAGUCUGACCGAGCAACGCCGCGUGAGUGAAGAAGGUUUUCGGAUCGUAAAGCUCUGUUGUAAGAGAAGAACGAGUGUGAGAGUGGAAAGUUCACACUGUGACGGUAUCUUACCAGAAAGGGACGGCUAACUACGUGCCAGCAGCCGCGGUAAUACGUAGGUCCCGAGCGUUGUCCGGAUUUAUUGGGCGUAAAGCGAGCGCAGGCGGUUAGAUAAGUCUGAAGUUAAAGGCUGUGGCUUAACCAUAGUAGGCUUUGGAAACUGUUUAACUUGAGUGCAAGAGGGGAGAGUGGAAUUCCAUGUGUAGCGGUGAAAUGCGUAGAUAUAUGGAGGAACACCGGUGGCGAAAGCGGCUCUCUGGCUUGUAACUGACGCUGAGGCUCGAAAGCGUGGGGAGCAAACAGGAUUAGAUACCCUGGUAGUCCACGCCGUAAACGAUGAGUGCUAGGUGUUAGACCCUUUCCGGGGUUUAGUGCCGCAGCUAACGCAUUAAGCACUCCGCCUGGGGAGUACGACCGCAAGGUUG
This 551-nucleotide ribosomal RNA is filed under the name uncultured bacterium. Its description in RNAcentral is "bacterial SSU rRNA". It matches the Rfam family "Bacterial small subunit ribosomal RNA", at positions 355 to 896 of the family's 1533-position model. The record is from RNAcentral.